AUACCUUUCUCGGCCUUGUGGCUAAGAUCAAGUGUAGUAUCUGUUCUUAUCAGUUUAGUAUCUGAUAUGUGGUGGCCAUUGGCUCACACGGUAUUAUAUUUAUUUUUUGAGGUGGGAGUGGCAACCAUAGUAGCUAGCUACUGGAACUCUCAUGCGUCGCCCAUGCCUUGCACUGUUGCAAGGGCCUGGCGCGCCCCAU
Arachis duranensis is the source of this 199-nucleotide small nuclear RNA. RefSeq annotates it as U2 spliceosomal RNA. The transcript has a single exon. The record is from RefSeq and is a predicted model, not a curated record. NCBI's taxonomy places the organism in Eukaryota, Viridiplantae, Streptophyta, Magnoliopsida, Fabales, Fabaceae.